This 528-nucleotide ribosomal RNA is filed under the name uncultured crenarchaeote. Its description in RNAcentral is "bacterial SSU rRNA". It matches the Rfam family "Archaeal small subunit ribosomal RNA", at positions 922 to 1451 of the family's 1478-position model. Lineage: Archaea; Thermoproteati; Thermoproteota. The record is from RNAcentral.
AAACUUACCAGGAGCGACAGCAGGAUGAGGGUCAGGCUGAAGACUUUACCUGACGAGCUGAGAGGAGGUGCAUGGCCGUCGCCAGCUCGUGCCGUGAGGCGUCCUGUUAAGUCAGGCAAGAGCGAGACCCUUGCCGAUAAUUGCUAGCCGCGGUCGCAAUACCGCGGAAGCUAGUUAAUGGGACUGCCGCUGCUAAAGCGGAGGAAGGAGAGGGCUACGGCAGGUCAGUAUGCCCCGAAACUCCUGGGCCACACGCGGGCUGCAAUGGUAGGGACAAUGGGUCCCGACCUCGAAAGAGGAAGGCAAUCCUCAAACCCUACCCCAGUUGUGAUUGAGGGCUGAAACCCGCCCUCAUGAAUAUGGAAUCCCUAGUAACCGCGUGUCAUCACCGCGCGGUGAAUACGUCCCUGCUCCUUGCACACACCGCCCGUCGCUUCACCCGAGUUGGGUUUGGGCGAGGCCGGCUCAAAUUGGGCCGAUCGAACCUAAGUUCGGCAAGGGGGGAGAAGUCGUAACAAGGUAGCCGUA